GACGGAUAUAAUACUCCUGUAGUGACAUGCUUGGUCAGUAACUUCAACCUCGUUCUAGUUAAGUAUUCAAGGGCAGAUGUGAUCAACACAGUUCAUAACUUACAUUAUAUGAAGGCAAAGCAUAUUUUCUUUGAAGGGGUAAAAUAUCACUCAAUAGUGGAAUCACUUGAAUUAUAUGAGUCAGUGCAAGAAAUUGAUAUGAAAAUAACGUGAUCUUUUAAACCCUCAAACUAGACUUCAGCAUAAGACCAUUUUGAAUGCUAUGGAAUAAAAUUGGAACUAUGUAAAUAUUGUUGAAUUGAUUUUUGGAGAAUCAAAUGGUCCUCGAAGGAAGGCUAAUGGAAUAGAAAGAAAGUUGAAGCAUUUGCAAAUGCACAGAACAUGCUUUAGGAUCGCCUUCUACAGAAACGAUAAAUGUCGCUAAAUUUUGCUUUAAGUUGUUAAGAAGCAGCUAUCAUAUUCCUUGAGAAAAGAUAGAUACACAUACCUGCAGUGCAUGGGGGCCAUCAG
This 510-nucleotide unclassified non-coding RNA is filed under the name Hevea brasiliensis (rubber tree). Lineage: Eukaryota; Viridiplantae; Streptophyta; Magnoliopsida; Malpighiales; Euphorbiaceae. The record is from RNAcentral.